Drosophila montana is the source of this 809-nucleotide long non-coding RNA. RefSeq lists it as uncharacterized. NCBI's taxonomy places the organism in Eukaryota, Metazoa, Arthropoda, Insecta, Diptera, Drosophilidae. The transcript has 2 exons. The record is from RefSeq and is a predicted model, not a curated record.
AACAAGCAUAUCUAAGCUUUGUAUCAACUCAAUGUCAUGAAGACGCUGAGCUGUACGGUUCAGUUUCGCAGAAGACGCUUAAGGCGACAUGAGUCGACUCCAGACAGAGGCAGCAGCAGCAAAUGACCAAGUGUGUGUGUAUGUAUCUUUUUCAAUUAAGUUUCUAGGCCAGCCACAAACAAGAACAACAACAACAAGAACAACAACAACGAGAACAGCCACAAGGUAGACAAGCAGCUGCUCUUGAUAUUGUUGAUAAUGAGAAUGAUAAUAAUGAUGAUGAUGUUGGCGACAGCGUCCAAACAGUAAAAGAAGAAGAGGAGCACCAUGAAGAAGUCUAACAAAUUGCAAAAUCCACAUCAAGCCACACCUUAAGCAAACAGCUUUGACUGCAUUUCGCACCGCCCCAAACUUGACUGCGCACACCGUGCGUAUACUUAACGUUAAACCCUAAACCACUAAAACCAACUAAAGAAAACAAGCAGCAACGUCGCCAUCAAGUGCUCUUGGUCGAAAAGGGGGAGGUGGAAGUGAGUGAAAGCAGAGAGAAUGUGCUGUGGUAACACUUUAGGGGGUUCUGUCAUGCUUUUCCCCACCUAAACGUAGCAUUUUAUUUAAACUGCAGUUAAUUUUCACUAAAACAUUUUAAUUGUAUUUUUGUAAUCUGUCUUCCACUAGUUUUACAUGCGGCCAAAGCAAACAGCCACCAGACAAGUCAGACGACAGCAGUUGCCGCCCAAAAUAAUCCACAGUGGUGCAAAAUAAAGAGUAAAAUAGUUGUCACUUAAGAAAUAAAAGUUUAAAGUUUA